CAGUCGCCACGGUAAUACGUAGGGUGCGAGCGUUAAUCGGAAUUACUGGGCGUAAAGCGCACGUAGGCUGCUUUGUAAGUCAGAGGUGAAAGCCCGGGGCUCAACCCCGGAUGUGCCUUUGAGACUGCAGGGCUAGAACGUCGGAGAGGUGAGUGGAAUUCCGAGUGUAGAGGUGAAAUUCGUAGAUAUUCGGAAGAACACCAGUGGCGAAGGCGGCUCACUGGACGACUGUUGACGCUGAGGUGCGAAAGCGUGGGGAGCAAACAGGAUUAGAUACCCCAGUAGUCCCUGUCUCUUAUAC
Molecule: ribosomal RNA, 301 nt
Filed under: uncultured bacterium
Lineage: Bacteria
Description: partial 16S ribosomal RNA
Rfam family: Bacterial small subunit ribosomal RNA
Source: RNAcentral